This 88-nucleotide small nucleolar RNA is filed under the name Rhinopithecus bieti (black snub-nosed monkey). RNAcentral's name for it is "Small nucleolar RNA SNORA48 (ENSRBIG00000011716.1)". It matches the Rfam family "Small nucleolar RNA SNORA48". From Rfam's summary of the family: The snoRNA ACA 48 has been identified to guide pseudouridylation of the residue U3797 in the 28S rRNA subunit. Its host gene EIF4A1 (eukaryotic translation initiation factor 4A1) is shared with U67 and snoRNA mgU6-77 The record is from Rfam by way of RNAcentral. Lineage: Eukaryota; Metazoa; Chordata; Mammalia; Primates; Cercopithecidae.
UGUCCAUCCAGGACAAAGGCAACCCUUGUUUAUCCCAGUGUGGCUCUUGGCUCUGUGCCCAUGGCUGGUUCGUGCCUUGGAUACAUGG